This is a long non-coding RNA of Bubalus bubalis (water buffalo), 327 nucleotides long. RefSeq lists it as uncharacterized. The transcript has 2 exons. Lineage: Eukaryota; Metazoa; Chordata; Mammalia; Artiodactyla; Bovidae. The record is from RefSeq and is a predicted model, not a curated record.
AAGAUGUUCUGUUUGCAAUGACUUUGAGAGCUUUAUUUUUUAAGAGAAACAUCUUAUAUAAAAGGAUGUAUCAAGUAAGAAUUCAUUUAGGCAAAAAUGAAGAUUUUUUUCCCUCUCUCCUUUAGUUAAAAAUCAGGAGUUUCCUUCUCGAGAAAAGGGGGAUCCGGACGCCGGACGACUCUCCUCCUAGAUUGUCAUCAGGCAUUAAUGAUGUCACCCACCCUUCGAAGACAUCAACAGCGCUACGCAGAGGGUGGCAUCAUUCCAUCCCAUUGCCAGACUCCCUUCCAGCUUCCUACGCAAAGAGAUGACAUGAGUGAUCCUCCC